UACGAAGGGGGCUAGCGUUGUUCGGAUUUACUGGGCGUAAAGCGCACGUAGGCGGAUCGUUAAGUCGGGGGUGAAAUCCUGGAGCUCAACUCCAGAACUGCCUUCGAUACUGUAGAGCUUGAGUUCGGGAGAGGUGAGUGGAACUGCGAGUGUAGAGGUGAAAUUCGUAGAUAUUCGCAAGAACACCAGUGGCGAAGGCGGCUCACUGGCCCGAUACUGGCGCUGAGGUGCGAAAGCGUGGGGAGCAAACAGG
RNAcentral lists this ribosomal RNA (253 nucleotides) under uncultured bacterium. RNAcentral's name for it is "partial 16S ribosomal RNA". It matches the Rfam family "Bacterial small subunit ribosomal RNA", at positions 524 to 776 of the family's 1533-position model. The record is from RNAcentral.